Molecule: long non-coding RNA, 2230 nt
Organism: Oncorhynchus tshawytscha (Chinook salmon)
Lineage: Eukaryota; Metazoa; Chordata; Actinopteri; Salmoniformes; Salmonidae
Source: Ensembl
GUACUGCUGUACCGAGGGCCUCCAGUAAGUACUGUACUGCUGUACCGAGGGCCUCCAGUAAGUACUGUACUGCUGUACUGAGGGCCUCCAGUAAGUACCGUACUGCUGUACUGAGGGCCUCCAGUAAGUACCGUACUGCUGUACUGAGGGCCUCCAGUAAGUACUGUACUGCUGUACCGAGGGCCUCCAGUAAGUACCGUACUGCUGUACUGAGGGCCUCCAGUAAGUACCGUACUGCUGUACUGAGGGCCUCCAGUAAGAACAAAAGUUCAAUCCACAAAACGUUUUACAAAGAAAACCAACUGUUUUUAAACGGUUUUAAAUAUCCAGGAUACAACAUAGUCACUCUGUAAAGACAAAUGAUUGAGAAUCUACCAUCUGUUUUCAAGUGAUUUCCCGUAGCAGACAUGUUUACAGUGAGGAGAGACGACUGAAGCGCUAAGCAGAAGGCGAUAGAUCUAGCAGUCCCUGUAAGCUAAUCAGUAGUUAAGGUGAUGAGUGUGUAUUAAAAAUCACUUUUCUACAGUUUUAAACAUGUUUCACCCCAGGUAAUGGUUUUGUACAGUUGCUUUGAAAAGGAUAUGGGGCUUAAUGAACUAUUCUGUUGUCCACAGAUUGGACCAGUUUUACUGUCUACAACACUGUCAGGUAACGAGAAAGACACGGACACUGUUCAUCUAUCAUUACAACAUUUUGUAAGGUUUCCAAAAAGACCAGAAGGACAUCAACCAAAAAACUAAAACAUUCAUGUCGAAUAAAUCUAAUAAUGAUGGAACCAACUAUUUAUUUGUCUGCAUUGUGAGUGGUGAGACUGUCUGCUACUUUAGAACAAGCUACAAACCUGCACUAAAAGCCACAGGUGGUUUCAUUAAAGAGACUGGGGCAGCAUUAAGCAGAUGAUGAAAUAACUGGGCUUGAACCACCAGCAUUGGUGAUGAGGAAGUCACUUGUUGGUCAAACCCAGCAGCACAGCGUACAGUACUACUGCCAUGUGUUGGAGAUAGAGAGUCCCCUGACCUCUCCUCUUCUGCCUCCACUAGCCCUGGCUUCUACCUCAACCCAGCAGCACAGCGUACAGUACUACUGCCAUGUGUUGGAGAUAGAGAGUCCCCUGACCUCUCCUCUUCUGCCUCCACUAGCCCUGGCUUCUACCUCAACCCAGCAGCACAGUGUACAGUACUACUGCCAUGUGUUGGAGAUAGAGAGUCCCCUGACCUCUCCUCUUCUGCCUCCACUAGCCCUGGCUUCUACCUCAACCCAGCAGCACAGUGUACAGUACUACUGCCAUGUCACAGAGAUAGAGUCCCCUGACCUCUCCUCUUCUGCCUCCACUAGCCCUGGCUUCUACCUCAACCCAGCAGCACAGUACUACUGCCAUGUGUUGGAGAUAGAGUCCCCUGACCUCUCCUCUUCUGCCUCCACUAGCCCUGGCUUCUACCUCAACUCCACUUUCACUUUACCCACCUUAAAUGGCAUAGGGCCCAGUCACAACUACUACUGUAAAGACUACGUCCAAAAUGACGCCCUAUUCCCUAUUCAGUGCACUACUUUUGACCAGGGUCCAUAGGACGCUGGUCAAAAGUAGUGCACUAUAUAGGGAAUAGGGUAUCAUUUGGGGGACACAGCCUAAGACUGCCCCACUGACAGUAGACACACAUUAUGCCUGGUUAGUAAACUAUAAAACACCACAAUCUGGUUUUAACUCUUUUGAGACAUUCACACAAAUACCGUUUGUCACUGACUGACUUUCUCUUCUCUAUUCCUAUCAGUCUCCCACUUCCUCCCCUCUCUUUCACCGCCAACACGAGGCUUGUAUACCGUGCUGCCUGGUGUCGGACACACACAAGGCUUCGUGGACAGGCCAUCAGUAAAGAUAGUCUGAUUGUUGUAGUGGGUCUAAUGAUGGGCUCAGUGUUAGCUAGAGAGCUCUUGCAUACUGAAUGAAUGGUUCUAGUAUCUGAAACGUGUCCCCCGAACACUAGAACAAACGGAACAUUCCGUUCCUAACAGACCUUUUAUUUUAAAUGUUAGGUAACCCUGGUUCAGCCUCACUCUGUUGUUCUGUUGUCUGCGUUCCUUUCUCUGUUCCAAAUACAGAGUUUGUCCAAGCUUCACCAUCAGAUCCAUUCCUACUCUCUGCAGAGUCUAGGACUAAGUUUGUCUUCCGCCCCCCAAAUCAAAAUGUAUUUAACCCCAAUACUAAAACAAUAAAUGGCACAAAGAAACAAAA